This 449-nucleotide ribosomal RNA is filed under the name uncultured bacterium. Its description in RNAcentral is "partial 16S ribosomal RNA". It matches the Rfam family "Bacterial small subunit ribosomal RNA", at positions 29 to 523 of the family's 1533-position model. The record is from RNAcentral.
AACGAACGCUGGCGGCAUGCCUAACACACGCAAGUCGAACGAGACCUUCGGGUCUAGUGGCGCACGGGUGCGUAACGCGUGGGAAUCUGCCCUCUGGUACGGAAUAACUCAGGGAAACUUGAGCUAAUACCGUAUAAUGACUCCGGUCCAAAGAUUUAUCGCCUGAGGAUGAGCCCGCGUCGGAUUAGCUAGUUGGUGAGGUAAAGGCUCACCAAGGCGACGAUCCGUAGCUGGUCUGAGAGGAUGAUCAGCCACACUGGGACUGAGACACGGCCCAGACUCCUACGGGAGGCAGCAGUGGGUAAUAUUGGACAAUGGGCGAAAGCCUGAUCCAGCAAUGCCGCGUGAGUGAUGAAGGCCUUAGGGUUGUAAAGCUCUUUUACCCGGGAUGAUAAUGACAGUACCGGGAGAAUAAGCCCCGGCUAACUCCGUGCCAGCCGCCGCAGUAA